Panicum virgatum (switchgrass) is the source of this 2934-nucleotide long non-coding RNA. RefSeq lists it as uncharacterized. The transcript has 3 exons. The record is from RefSeq and is a predicted model, not a curated record. Lineage: Eukaryota; Viridiplantae; Streptophyta; Magnoliopsida; Poales; Poaceae.
AAGGGGAUCCAGCGUUCAAGUUCUUCAAGCUGAGGCUAAUUCUGCUCUGUGCGUGGGCAUCGACCUCUCCAUCCAUACUCGAACACCACCGGCCUCGACAGCAUAACAAUGUCAUUGUUGGCUGUAGCCCCAGCUUCAACUGUGUCCGACCUCAUCAAGGAGCUCUUCCUCGAUGCCAGCCUAGCUGCUGCAGUUUCACUUGACAGCAAAAUCUAUCCCUGCUACACCAAAAUAUCCCCUAUCCUCAGUAGAAGCGUCUACAGUCUGUUCAACGAAAUGCUUGUACCGUUCUAUGAGGAUUAAUAUAGAAGUACUACAGAGUUGUCCAACUUUUAUCCUUUAUAUGGAUGUAUAAAGCUCUCUAACUAGCCAGCAUCUCAAUAAGUCAAUGGGGGCAGGCUACUCAAAUGGUCCUUUCUCUAUACUCGUCUCUUUUUAAAUGUUUUUUUGGAAUGAAAGCUAAACCUUGCAUUUUGACUAGUCCACGUUGAAACUAGCUUGAUGAGGUCACAUUGUAUCCUUUUGCUGGGUUAUUUUCAGAUUCCUAUAUGAGACUAAAUACAAUAUCCUUUGCUAAUCAUAGAUAUAUAUUAUUUUUUGUCACUCGGAAUUAGUGCACUUUAUCACUAGAACUAGUAAUAUCAUUGCCAUAAUAAUUGUUUAUAACAUUGAUACAAUAGGGUAUCAUAACAUCAGCACUAUAGACCUAGGUUAUCUUGUUUUUACUAAACACAGUGUCCUUUUCCCAAUCAUGCAGGUAUAUUAUUUUUUCUCCCCAUUAGUUGAACAUCAACUUUUUUAUAUUUUCUAGCUUAAAGUUUGUGUCGAGGCUAAAAUUCUUCAGUUUAUACCCAUAGUUUGAAUGCUAGAUCAAAGUUCUAUAUUUAUAAUUUGUAAGUUUGCAACAUUUCAAACAAAGGUUUUGAAGUGCAAUAUGAGAGUUGAUAAUUUGAGAUAUAGAUAAUAUUCUAUAUAUAGGUUACAAUUUUUAUAUGUAAGAUUAAAAAAUUUAUAAUUGGCUAGUACAAAGUCCCCAACUUUAGAAUGCAAAGUUUUUAGUUAAAAAGUUAAUGAUUUUGUAGCACAAAGUUCUGUAUUUUAGAGUAAAUUUUUUGAUGAUGUGACAACACAAAGUUUAUGAAUACUUUUUGUUUUUGAAGGUACUACCUUGCGGUGCCUAGCAUUAUCUAUCAGAAAAUAAACUAAUACUUUUUGAGUUGUGGUAUUUUCGCAAUUUUGCCAAGGCAUUUGCAUCGCAGGGUAUCUUUUUUGUUUUGACUAAACUAUGGUGAAUUCAAUUUUGUGAGUUUGGUGACCAUGAUGUGUCCAUGUUAACAAAAAACUUACUAAACUCCCAUUUUGCACAGGCCAAGCCAAGGCUCAUUGAUAGCUCUAAAAUAAGAUUUUGGACCACAAUACUUCUUAACCAUUUAUGUGAGAUCAAGACCCAUUGAUUUCUAUGAAAAAAAUUUAUACAUAUGUGUUUCAAAAUACAUUGGUAUUAAGUUCCUGAAUUUAGAUGCUAAGUUUGUUGUAUUUAUAAACUUUUAAAGUUCGGAGUACAAAGUUAGUAAUGUUAUAUUUCUAAAGCUCAUAUGUUCUAAUGUUCAAGGUUGUAACGUUUUUCAGAUAAAUUUUUAGAACCGAGAGACACAAAGUUUAUGAUUUGCCAGGACAAAGUUCCCAAUAUGGAAAUUUAAAGUUUUUUAGGUAUGAAGUAUUAGAUCUAAAAGUACAAAGUUUUAAAUGUUCUAUCACAAAGUCCCAGAUUUUUUGAAGAGUAAAGUUGGAUUCACGAGAGUACAAACUUUGUAACAUGCUAGUUGAAAGUUUUCUAACUUUGGCGGCAAAGUUCAUAAUUUAUUUUACUAAUUUUUUUACAAGUCCAAAGUUACUGAAUUUAGUGUUCAUUUUUUAUUUCAGUAGAAAGCUUUUAUGUAAAAAAGUUAUAUACCAAUUUGUAAAAGAUUUUAAAUAACAUCUAUAGAGUUUCAUAUGUAGUAGUAUAGAUUUUUAAAUUUAAUUAUAGAAAGUUCUUAAAUUUAGUGCACAAUGUUUUGGAAUUACAAAGCUGUGGACUCCGGUGUAGAAAGUUUGAAAAUAUAUUUGUAGAUGUUUCUGAAUUUCAAGUGCAAGAUUUGAAUUAAAGUUUUGAAUUUGGGAGUACAAAAUUUAAAUGGGGUUGAUUGCAAAUUUUUGGAGCUAAUAAAAUUUAUUAACGUGAUAGUAAAAGGUUCAUAGAAUCAGGUUCGAAAGCUUUGGAACUAACAAAUUAUUAUUGUACUACAAAGUUUAUUGUUUCAGAUUUGAUAGUUUUUUAGAACUAUAAAGUUAUUAAUGUGCUUGUACAAAGUUUCACAAUUUUCAUAUUUGAAAGCUUUUUACAACUACAAAGUUAUUAUUGUGCUAUUACAAACUUGAUUUUCCUUAUUUAAAGGAAUGAUAAGGUUUUAUAUCUAGAUAUACAAAGCCCCCAAUAUUUAUAAUACACUUGCAUUCUCUUUUUUCUUUUUAUUUCCAAUAUUUUUUCCUGUACAACAAUAUUUUAAAUACAAUUGUGGUUUCCCACUGGAAGAUGCAAAACCAUGCAACAAAAAGUAUGAUACCCUUGUAGAAACCAUAAAAAUUACUAAACAUGCAUGUAAGUUUUGCUAUGCAUAUUUUUUGUUCAUCUUUUUAAAACCAAUUAUAUAAGUUGAGCGCAAGAGUUACAAUUUUUCUCAUUUUCAAUUUUUUCAGGGUAUUAUCAUUGGGUUCUGUAAGUGAAGAUCUAAUUUAUGGUUAAAAAAGAUAACAAUUGGAUGAACAACAUGGACGUGCAAUCAUUUUUUUUCUUUUAUUCUACGCUCUAGAACAACAGUCAAUCUAUUUUUUUUAUCCUCUUAUACUAUGACACAUCUUCUUUCUUUUUUAUCAAAUCUCAUGGUCUUUUUA